This 253-nucleotide ribosomal RNA is filed under the name uncultured bacterium. RNAcentral's name for it is "partial 16S ribosomal RNA". It matches the Rfam family "Bacterial small subunit ribosomal RNA", at positions 524 to 776 of the family's 1533-position model. The record is from RNAcentral.
UACGUAGGGUGCGAGCGUUAAUCGGAAUUACUGGGCGUAAAGCGUGCGCAGGCGGUUUUGUAAGCCAGAUGUGAAAUCCCCGGGCUCAACCUGGGAAUGGCAUUUGGGACUGCAAGGCUCGAGUGCGGCAGAGGAGACUGGAAUUCCUGGUGUAGCAGUGAAAUGCGUAGAUAUCAGGAGGAACACCGAUGGCGAAGGCAGGUCUCUGGGCAUUAACUGACGCUGAGGAGCGAAAGCAUGGGGAGCGAACAGG